CGUUCAGUGGCCCGACUCAUUCUUUGUUCUCCAAUUCAUCGGACAAAACUCACUCUUGUCUCGGAAGCAACUUGAACGAUUGAAGAACUCACUCUCAUUUCAGACAUUUCAUUCCCUAGAAUCAGUAAUCAACAUCUCUUCCUAGACAAAAUCCCUUCACAAUCUUCAUAAUCAUCCACCUAACAAAACAGAAGAGAACAAGGAAAAAAAGAAAAGAAAAGCAAAUGCAAAGCCAGAACAAAACAGGGAAUUCGAGGAAUAGAGAGGAGCUAUUGUUUGCCGACCAGACUUCGCCAGCACUGUGGUGGCUGGAUUUCUUCUUCAGAAAAGCACGGUGAAGUUUCUUUGGUUUUUUGUUUUUUAGUAAUUUUCAGCCCACCACCGCUAUCACCAUCGCCAUCGCUAUCGCCGUAUUGUCAUUAUCUGAAAUUGAAUUUUUGUGCUCCAAUUUUAAAUGCUUUUCAUGACCUUACUUUCUUGUUUGUGGGUUUAGUUCAGGUUAAUAAUGGUAGAUUAUUUGUUCGGUUCUCUUAUUUUUUGUGUUGCUGAAACAUUGGUUGUGAGUUCGGAUAGGUUAGAAAUACAUUUGAAAGAAAAAAGUUCCGUUUUCGCUAAUGCCCAAAAUGUAUUUGUAAAAAUGGCAAAGCAAACGAAUUUCCGAAACGUAUUUCCUAAUUGCUCAAGUUGGGAAGGUUUCUGGAUAUGCAUUUCAAAUUUAUGGAUUACUCUUAGUUGCAAAUUUUAUUUCAGCAUAAUUCGUAGAUUUUUUGCAUCUCUUUGGUUUCUGAAAAAAAGAAGCAUGAAAGUUGUACUUUGGUUGAAAUACUUCAGAACUCCUACAGAGUCUUUUCCUGUGGAGUAUUAAUGUUUUGGGAAUAAUUGCAGACUGAAGUUUGAAGGAACUAUGGAAAAGAAUGAGGUUUUGUUUUUGUUUCUUCAAUAACUCAUAAUUGAAGCCUAAGUGCUUAAUUUUGUAAAAUGUAUUGUGGCAUACUGGAUCUAAAUUGUCUAGUCAGUCUUUAGUCUUUGAACGGAUCUAGUCAUAAUUUGACAUGAAUUAUUAUUAUGUAUUGAUUAGUUCAGGCAAAUUGAAAGUCAUACCAUUGCUUGAGUAUCGAAGAUGAGGCAUUACGGCUUAAGGACUAAGUGCUGUUGUUGAUCCUAAUGCAACGAAAUACUAUGUGAUUAACUCUUUACUCUCUUUCAAAUUAAUCUCUGAUUUUUCAGCAUGACAGGUAUGGAUCUCACGUCUCAGUGGCACAUACUCGCUUCGUACGCCUGAUGAUGGUGGGGGAGCAUUGAGUGGGAUGUAUUUGGGAUUAAGGGGCUCUUGCGAAAAUAACUCAUUUAUGCUAUGGGAUUACUUGGGGGGACUAAUAUGUUCUAGCCCAAAUUGGUGCCGCCCAAUUCUAUGAUGUAACAUAAAGCCCCAUUUGUGGUACUUUGAACACGUGGAUAUAUUUCAGGUCCACCAUUCUUUUUUUUCGAAAGAGGUCCAUCUUAGUCUCUUCAGUUCAUAAAUACAGUGGUAAAGAAAGAAAUUGGCUGCCUGAUAGGAAUCUCAAUCACGGAAGAUUGGAGAAUUACUACUGGCUGAUAACUGGAAUACAAGUAGUAAAUGUGAUUUAUUAUCUAGUAUGUGCUUGGUUUUAUACCCAUGAACCAUUGGAUUUGGCUGCUGAAAGCAGGGAUGCAAUGGAUUUGGAGUUAGCAAAGUGGAGAAUUUUACCUAUUGAUUCUAGUGUAAAUGCAGAAACAGAACAAGAGAGAUAUAUAUGGUGGAGGAAGCAUGAAUUUGUUCCUUUUAUUGUGCUGUGCUAGGGCACUUUAAUUAGAUUCUCAGUGCCAAGUUCCCAUUUACUUUCAACUGCCACUUCCAAGAUCUUGCUCUCUC
This is a long non-coding RNA of Coffea arabica (coffee), 1894 nucleotides long. RefSeq lists it as uncharacterized. Lineage: Eukaryota; Viridiplantae; Streptophyta; Magnoliopsida; Gentianales; Rubiaceae. The record is from RefSeq and is a predicted model, not a curated record.